Molecule: ribosomal RNA, 253 nt
Filed under: uncultured bacterium
Lineage: Bacteria
Description: partial 16S ribosomal RNA
Rfam family: Bacterial small subunit ribosomal RNA
Source: RNAcentral
UACAGAGGUGCCAAGCGUUAGGCGGAAUCACUGGGCUUAAAGCGCGCGUAGGCGGAUGUUUAAGUGUCUUGUGAAAUCCCACGGCUCAACCGUGGAACUGCUGGGCAUACUGGACAUCUCGAGGCACUCAGGGGCGAGCGGAACAAGUGGUGGAGCGGUGAAAUGCGUAGAUAUCGGGAAGAACACCCGUGGCGAAGGCGGCUCUCUGGAACGGUACUGACGCUGAGACGCGAAAGCGUGGGGAGCGAACAGG